AAGUCCCUGCGGUGCGCGUUAGAGAGGGAUUAUAAAGAACCAAUACUUUAUAGAAGGGAUGCUUGACUUCUAAACUGUUUGUGGACAGAUUUUUAGAGAGGCUCCCACUUGGUGAAUGGGUUCACCUAUUAUCUUUCUCGACGGCAUUCGCGGGGAUUUU
This 160-nucleotide non-coding RNA is filed under the name Omnitrophica WOR_2 bacterium GWC2_45_7. RNAcentral's name for it is "6S RNA". It matches the Rfam family "6S / SsrS RNA". From Rfam's summary of the family: E. coli 6S RNA was the first non coding RNA to be sequenced, but its function was unknown until recently. It consists of 184 nucleotides that fold into an extended hairpin structure with a large single-stranded internal bulge. The 6S RNA specifically associates with RNA polymerase holoenzyme containing the sigma70 specificity factor. Lineage: Bacteria; Pseudomonadati; Candidatus Omnitrophota. The record is from RNAcentral.